GGCGUUAUAAUUCAUUGAGCUGAAAUACGAUGUUUGGCAGCUCAGUUCCAGAAUCUAAAUAGACAAAAUGUAUUGCCAAACUGAAGCAGCUUUAUUCAGGGGUUGUAGCAGCAAAACUAAAGAGUAAUAACAUAACAUACAAAGACAUCUCUACGUUGUCUUGCACAAUUCAUGCGACAGCAAAGUUGGCACUAUAAUCCAUUGAGCUGAAAUACGAUGUUUGGCAGCUCAGUUCCAGAAUCUAAAUAGACAAAAUGUAUUGCCAAACUGAAGCAGCUUUAUUCAGGGGUUGUAGCAGCAAAACUAAAGAGUAAUAACAUAACAUACAAAGACAUCUCUACGUUGUCUUGCACAAUUCAUGCGACAGCAAAGUUGGCACUAUAAUUCAUUGAGCUGAAAUACGAUGUUUGGCAGCUCAGUUCCAGAAUCUAAAUAGACAAAAUGUAUUGCCAAACUGAAGCAGCUUUAUUCAGGGGUUGUAGCAGCAAAACUAAAGAGUAAUAACAUAACAUACAAAGACAUCUCUACGUUGUCUUGCACAAUUCAUGCGACAGCAAAGUUGGCACUAUAAUCCAUUGAGCUGAAAUACGAUGUUUGGCAGCUUAGCUCCAGAAUCUAA
This 619-nucleotide long non-coding RNA is filed under the name Solanum tuberosum (potato). RNAcentral's name for it is "long non-coding RNA (STUB_LNC002337)". The record is from RNAcentral. Lineage: Eukaryota; Viridiplantae; Streptophyta; Magnoliopsida; Solanales; Solanaceae.